AGCUCCAAAAGCGUAUAUUAAAGUUGUUGCAGUUAAAAAGCUCGUAGUUGGAUUUCUGGCACGGUGCGCCUGGUCCGCCGCCCUCGAGGUGUGUGAGUACCGGUCGCGCGCCUGCCAUCCUGGGUUCGGAGGCGCGGCUUCCCUUCACUGGGCGGCCGCGUGCUAACUCUGCCCUCGUUUACUUUGAAAAAAUUAGAGUGUUUCUAGCAGGCGUUUUCGCCGUGAAUACAUUAGCAUGGAAUAAUAAGAUAGGACUUGGGUUCUAUUUUGUUGGUUUCUAGGACCGAAGUAAUGAUUGACAGGGACAGUUGGGGGUGCUGGUAUUCACGGGCCAGAGGUGAAAUUCUUGGAUUCCGUGAAGACCAACUUAUGCGAAAGCAUUCACCAAGGAUGUCUUCU
Molecule: ribosomal RNA, 399 nt
Filed under: uncultured eukaryote
Lineage: Eukaryota
Description: SSU rRNA
Rfam family: Eukaryotic small subunit ribosomal RNA
Source: RNAcentral